This 461-nucleotide ribosomal RNA is filed under the name uncultured bacterium. RNAcentral describes it as "bacterial SSU rRNA". It matches the Rfam family "Bacterial small subunit ribosomal RNA", at positions 29 to 524 of the family's 1533-position model. The record is from RNAcentral.
AACGAACGCUGGCGGCAUGCCUAACACAUGCAAGUCGAACGGGAUCCAGGCUUCGGCCUGGUGAGAGUGGCGGACGGGUGAGUAACACGUGGGAACCUGCCUUUUGGUUCGGGAUAACCGCGGGAAACUGCGGCUAAUACCGGAUGCUCCCGAGAGGGGAAAGAUUUAUCGCCAGAAGAGGGGCCCGCGUCCGAUUAGGUAGUUGGUGAGGUAAUGGCUCACCAAGCCGACGAUCGGUAGCUGGUCUGAGAGGAUGAUCAGCCACACUGGGACUGAGAUACGGCCCAGACUCCUACGGGAGGCAGCAGUGGGGAAUAUUGGGACAAUGGGGGCAACCCUGAUCCAGCAAUGCCGCGUGAGUGAUGAAGGCCUUAGGGUUGUAAAGCUCUUUUGCCAGGGAAGAUGAUGACUGUACCUGGAGAAUAAGCCCCGGCUAACUUCGUGCCAGCAGCCGCGGUAAU